RNAcentral lists this long non-coding RNA (1904 nucleotides) under Sus scrofa (pig). Its description in RNAcentral is "lncRNA (ENSSSCG00015067834.1, ENSSSCG00045006412.1)". The record is from RNAcentral. Lineage: Eukaryota; Metazoa; Chordata; Mammalia; Artiodactyla; Suidae.
UUUUUUUUUUUUUCAGCUGCUUCCACAAGAUAUGGAAGUUUCUGGACCAGGGAUUGAGUCCAAACCACAGCUGAGACCUGUGCCACAGCUAUGGCAACACCAGAUCCUUAACCCACUGUGCCAGUUUGGUGCAGGUUGAAACUGCACCUCCACAGCAACCCGAGCUACUGGCUGAGUCAGAUCCUUAACCCACUGCACCACAGAAGAAACUCCUGGAUGGCAUUUCUAACCAGCCAUGAUGCUACAGAGUGGCUACCUCAAUACUUAAAAAGCAAAGUAUACUACAUCCAGGUAAAUCGCAUUGCUGAGCAGAGAGAGACAAAUAUCACAUGAUAUCACUUAUGUGAGGAAUCUUAAAAAAUGAGACAAAGGAAGUUAUUUACAAAACAGAAACAGACUCCCAGACAAAACAGAAAGAGACUUGCAGACACAGAAAACAAACUUAUGGUUACCAAAGCGGAAGUGGGGGAGGGAUAGAUUAGAAGUUUGGGUUUAAUAUAUAUACACUUCUGAUACACUUCUAUACAUAAAAUAGAGAGUUCUUAUUGUGGCUCAGCAGGUUAAGAAUCUGACUAGUAUCCAUGAGGAUUCAGGUUUGACCCCUGGCCUCGCUCAGUGAGUUAAAAAGAAUCCAGCAUUGCUGCAAACUUCUGUGUAGGUCGAAGAUCUGGCAUUGCUGUGGCGGUGAUGUAGGGUGGCAGCUGCAGAUCCGAUUCGACCCCUAGCUUGGGAACUUGCAUAUGCUGCAGUGGGUAAAUAAAAGCUAUUAUAGAGUAGUUUUCUUUGAAAAUCAACUGGCAAUUUAUAGAUGGCGGGCAAUAAGAAUUUGAGAAGCAUUAUGCAGGGAACUUGUAAAGCAAGAGAAGAACCUGUAAGGAGUUAGUUCUUCAGGAGAGGUAAAAUCAGGAGAGGUAAAACAGAAAAUAAGGGAAAUUACUUAAUUGGGGUAGAAAGAAAUGCAAGAGACAGUCCUAAAAGCAAAUGAGUUGGCCUUAUUUUUUCCUCCUCUAUCUUUACUAAGGAAACAUUACCAAGAGCGCUACUUUUAAAUUAUCGGUUUUUUAUAGGCAUUAUUUUUAGAGUAGUUUAUCUUCUGAUUCACAGAGGUUAACACUAUUGGACCCACUGAAAAGCUGAAAAUAAUUGAAAAGCAUAACAUACUAUACAGAUAGAAGAUGAUGUUAUUCUUAAGAAUAAAUUCUGAAAAGUGCCCAGGACCUCGUUAACACAUCAGAAAGAGAGGAAUCAACAGAACUUGAUCAACAUGGGUUUUUAAAGAAUAUCAAGGGUAAAAUGGUGUAACUGUUGGCAAAGUUGUGUGCCCUGUUAUGUCCAGCCUUCCCAAGGACUGAUGGAUUGCCUAUCUGAAUUCUAUCUAAAUGAAGAACUGCAAGCAUAGCGGUGGAAACUUCGAGAUAAAGAAUAUCACACGUACUGGAUAAACCAGUUGAAUUUGUAAUUAAAUGGCAGGACCCUUGAAAAAUGUAUAAACAACCUACUGGGAAAAAGGCACCAUAGCUUAUAAGGGAAAUUCACAGGCAAAGAUUAUGAGGUCUUUAGAGAAAUAAAGACUAUUUGGUUUGCCAAAGGGAAAACCAGUGGGUAAAAAUUUUAAGUACAAAACUUGCCAACAAUCCUUCUAUGCAAAGACAUUGCCUAUGAUUUAAUAAGAAAUUUUGACAGGGUCCACUUUGGAUUGGCACUUCUUAAAAAAAAAAAAAAAGAUAGGGACCUGGCUUAAAAUGAGAAAACAGAGAAUAUGAAUCAGUUAAGUGUGUCUUAAUUUGGAGAAGCUUGAACAGCAGGGUUUCUGAGAUCCCUCUGUGCUGAGAUAAAUAUAUUUAAAAGCUGUGUAAGUACUCUGAAAGACAAUACCAGGUUCAUCAAUGAUACUGAGUUCCUCC